UACGGGGGGAGCAAGCGUUGUUCGGAUUUACUGGGCGUAAAGGGCUCGUAGGCGGCCAACUAAGUCAGACGUGAAAUCCCUCGGCUUAACCGGGGAACGGCCUCUGAUACUGGCUGGCUGGAGUUCGGGAGAGGGAUGCGGAAUUCCAGGUGUAGCGGUGAAAUGCGUAGAUAUCUGGAGGAACACCGGUGGCGAAGGCGGCAUCCUGGACCGACACUGACGCUGAGGAGCGAAAGCCAGGGGAGCAAACGGG
Molecule: ribosomal RNA, 253 nt
Filed under: uncultured bacterium
Lineage: Bacteria
Description: partial 16S ribosomal RNA
Rfam family: Bacterial small subunit ribosomal RNA
Source: RNAcentral